RNAcentral lists this ribosomal RNA (465 nucleotides) under Vreelandella stevensii. RNAcentral's name for it is "partial 16S ribosomal RNA". It matches the Rfam family "Bacterial small subunit ribosomal RNA", at positions 338 to 795 of the family's 1533-position model. The record is from RNAcentral. Lineage: Bacteria; Pseudomonadati; Pseudomonadota; Gammaproteobacteria; Oceanospirillales; Halomonadaceae.
CCUACGGGUGGCAGCAGUGGGGAAUAUUGGACAAUGGGGGGAACCCUGAUCCAGCCAUGCCGCGUGUGUGAAGAAGGCCCUCGGGUUGUAAAGCACUUUCAGUGAGGAAGAACGCCUGGUGGUUAAUACCCAUCAGGAAAGACAUCACUCACAGAAGAAGCACCGGCUAACUCCGUGCCAGCAGCCGCGGUAAUACGGAGGGUGCGAGCGUUAAUCGGAAUUACUGGGCGUAAAGCGCGCGUAGGUGGCUUGAUAAGCCGGUUGUGAAAGCCCCGGGCUCAACCUGGGAACGGCAUCCGGAACUGUCAAGCUAGAGUGCAGGAGAGGAAGGUAGAAUUCCCGGUGUAGCGGUGAAAUGCGUAGAGAUCGGGAGGAAUACCAGUGGCGAAGGCAGCCUUCUGGACUGACACUGACACUGAGGUGCGAAAGCGUGGGUAGCAAACAGGAUUAGAUACCCGUGUAGUC